ACGAGAACGAAGUAAGGUCAGUAGCUCAGAAUGGCAGCUGGAACAGUAUUAAUCUAGACACCACGCUCGCUACAUCUCCCCAGUCUCCACGCCACCACCAACCUUCGAGUCUACGCAGCCUAGGGUCCGUCUGUGUAUUGUCGUGGGUGUGACGUUCAACAGCGGCAGGAACAACAAUGGGAAGCUUGAUCUGCGUGGGUUUUCGUGCGGCGGGGUGACGUGCCACUGCUGUGAGGUUAUCGGACCACACCACACCACACCCCAGCCCAGCGGAGGAGAGGCGUUGACGAUCCAAAGGCCUGACUAUACAGCGGUAAUGAGCCUCGUCUACCUUGCACGGAAAACGCUCACUACCAACACCUUUGCUUCCGCCACCGCCGCAAGAUUGGGGAAGGACUCGCUGCCUUGCAUCGCGCACACGGUCUACUCUUAACGACCGCCGCCGUUGAGGGAGACUGGCUGGAUGAGUGAGUGAUAGAGGCGAGGCAGGUGUGGCGAGGCGGAAGAUUGGAGACGAGAACCAACUGAUGACGGCGGACACGGAAGAUUCCACUAACCAGGUAGAUGAAUGUGUGGCAAGAUUGUGCUACACCGCCGCCACCAGUGAUUCAGCUUCGCAUAGCAGACAUCGUCCUAUUCAACGCUUGCUGCCACCACCUUAUGGUGGUGUCACUGUACUUGAAGCUUGGAUCUGUUGUCACUACUGAUGAAUAAAUUGUAGAGAUAUCUUUG
Long non-coding RNA from Portunus trituberculatus (swimming crab), 732 nucleotides. RefSeq lists it as uncharacterized. Lineage: Eukaryota; Metazoa; Arthropoda; Malacostraca; Decapoda; Portunidae. The transcript has 2 exons. The record is from RefSeq and is a predicted model, not a curated record.